Molecule: ribosomal RNA, 398 nt
Filed under: uncultured bacterium
Lineage: Bacteria
Description: bacterial SSU rRNA
Rfam family: Bacterial small subunit ribosomal RNA
Source: RNAcentral
GCCRGACUSACGGUGCCUACCNAGAACCACCGGCUAACUAUGUGCCACCAGCCGCGGUAAUACAUAGGGUGCAAGCGUUGUCCGGAAUUAUUGGGCGUAAAGAGCUCGUAGGUCGUUUGUUACGUCGGAUGUGAAAACCUGAGGCUCAACCUCAGGCCUGCAUUCGAUACGGGCAAACUAAAGUUUGGUAGGGGAGACUGGAAUUCCUGGUGUAACGGUGGAAUGCGCAGAUAUCACGAGGAACACCAAUGGCGAAGGCAGGUCUCUGGGCCAAUACUGACACUGAGGAGCGAAAGUCUGGGGAGCGAACAGGAUUAGAUACCCUGGUACUCCAGACCGUAAACGGUGGGCACUAGUUGUGGGAACCUUCCCGGUUUCUGCGACGCAGCUAACGCAUU